Molecule: long non-coding RNA, 2055 nt
Filed under: Fukomys damarensis (Damara mole-rat)
Lineage: Eukaryota; Metazoa; Chordata; Mammalia; Rodentia; Bathyergidae
Description: lncRNA (ENSFDAG00000023443.1)
Source: RNAcentral
AUGAAAUUGUGCAGGGCUGAGACACCUGAAUUUUUCCUCGAAUACAUGAAAGGAAAUUCUGUGCCUGAACCUCUCAGACCUUCUCCCAGUGGAAUUCCUUUUGAGUGUUCAUAUCUCAAAACCUUAUGUAACCUGACACAAUUACCUGAAAAAGCUCGGAAUCCAAAGAACACUGUUAUCAGUUGUUCCGCCAAGAAAAGACCUGAAUCAGGGGUGACAGAAGCUGUCAAGGAAGCAAGUUUUGGAAUUAAUAUUAAUAAUCAAGUUGCCUUAAUUCUGCCUUUGGGAGACAUAUUUUUAAUCCAGAAGCAAAUAGAAAAGAUUGGUUAUCUUUUGCCUAGUAAUGUCCACUGAAUAAUGCCAAUCUUCUAGCUGAAGGCCAGGGGCAACGAUGCCUGGUGGUUAGGAGCUGUGUUGGCUGGCUGUGUGGCCUCGAACAUAGCAAUUAACUUCUGUAGGUCUUUCUCUUUAGUAGUUUAGAAGUUGCUCCAGAGGGAUGAUUCAAGGAUAGUAAAUAAAAUAAAGCAUAAGCAAGUUGAGCAGAAGGACUGGCAUGCAACAAACACAAUAAAUGUGGAAGAUUAUUAAUAACUCCAAAUCAUACCAGCAGAUCCAAGAAGGAUAUCACCCAGAGUCAGCCAAGAAGUCUAAGUGCUGUCAGCUGGCACUUGCUUUUCCCCUGGGGCUAGUCCAGAAAACAGAAUGUGAGCUCUGUUUCCCACCUCCACCUCUGGGGACCUUGAUCUCCAUAUAUCUGCCUUCUAUCCUGGAGACAGACAAUUCAGAGGAGGAUACCAGGUACAAUUUCAAAUCUAAGUGGUGCUCCUGGCUUCCUGCAUCUUACUGUCCCCUCUUCCUGGUAACUAAAGGGCUGAAUCUCCAGGUACACAGACUAAAUGGGAUACCUCUGAAAAACUAGGGAUUUGGUUCCUACCCAGGGCACUCCAGGGCUCGGAUGCCACAUGUGUGAUGUGCUGGAGCUGAUGGGCAUCCAGCAGCCCCUGGCCUCAGGCUUUGCAUGCCCACAAGUGCCUCACACUCAGGUUGUCUAAAUGAGACUUUUGUUUCUGUUCAUCAUCUGGAUACAGCAACAAGACUUCCAACCUCCAUUCUUCCUACUUUCCCCAAAUGGGACAUAGGUCUCAUUUGCUUAAGACCAUCCUAAGCUCUCAUUUGCCCCUAGAGUGAUACCUAAGAGGCCAUGUAUGUAGCUUUGCACUAACAUAGUUCUUGCCAGCAGACUUUGUAUUCAAAUAUAUCUGAGUCAGGAUGUUGGGGCUGGUCCAAGUAUACUUGUGUUUGAGACCUUGAGAGACUUUUAUGGACCUAGAAGCCUUGGUUCCCUUGAAUGUAAAAUGGAGGUAACGAGAUGUCUAUAAAGAGUUAUGUUGAAACCUCUUUACCCAACCCAGGUCCUGCGACAGCACAAGAGGCUCUGAGGCUCUGCAUGGAAUGAAGGCUGAGGAUGUGGUGGCUGAAAGACUCAGAGAUGAUGAGACUAGCUUUAGACAUGCUGGAUAUGUACAUGGGGCCAAUGUGUGUCCAAGGGAGGCAUCCAGGGCAGCUGGCUGUGUGGGCCUGGAGUUAAGAGGGAAGCCUUGGCUGGAGAGCAAGAAAGCAUGGGUGUCACCAAUAUGAGUAGGAAGAUGAGCUCAUUAUUGGGUGGGGGGAGUGAGCACAAAGGCCUCUGCAGUCACAGGCUCACCCACAAGAAAUACAAUCUCUUGAAGAAGGUGAAAAGAGAAAGGCAGAGAGGUAGGAGGAAACUCAGCAAUGAUGGCUUCACAGACAUCAAAAGAAACAGGACUUGAGGCAGUCAAGAGAGGUCAACAGGGCAGAGACUUCAAGGAGGCCAAGUUAGCAGAAGGCAGAGAUGGAUGGCUCUACGGUAUUUGAGGACUAGGAGGUCAUUUAUUGGUUACAUCUGGAGAGGUCAGGAUGGGAAAAUGACUCCAGGCUAAAGUGGGGGAGGGUGAGCAGUGAUGUAGACUGUAGACAGCUUUCAAGAAAUGGGCAGAGACUUCAAGGAGGCCAAGUUAGCAGAAGGCAGAGAUG